GACGAACGCUGGCGGCGUGCCUAAUACAUGCAAGUCGAGCGGACCAAAGGGAGCUUGCUCCUGGAGGUCAGCGGCGAACGGGUGAGUAACACGUGGGCAACCUGCCUGUAAGACUGGGAUAACAUCGAGAAAUCGGUGCUAAUACCGGAUAAUAAAAAGAACUGCAUGGUUCUUUUUUGAAAGAUGGUUUCGGCUAUCACUUACAGAUGGGCCCGCGGCGCAUUAGCUAGUUGGUGAGGUAACGGCUCACCAAGGCAACGAUGCGUAGCCGACCUGAGAGGGUGAUCGGCCACACUGGGACUGAGACACGGCCCAGACUCCUACGGGAGGCAGCAGUGGGGAAUCUUGCGCAAUGGGCGAAAGCCUGACGCAGCGACGCCGCGUGGGCGAAGAAGGCCUCGG
This 402-nucleotide ribosomal RNA is filed under the name uncultured bacterium. Its description in RNAcentral is "bacterial SSU rRNA". It matches the Rfam family "Bacterial small subunit ribosomal RNA", at positions 28 to 420 of the family's 1533-position model. The record is from RNAcentral.